AGAGUUUGAUCCUGGCUCAGGACGAACGCUGGCGGCGUGCUUAACACAUGCAAGUGGAGCGACGAACCGGGCUUCGGCCCGGGGCAGAGCCGCGAACGGGUGAGUAACACGUGGGUUAUCUGCCCAGUUGACAGGGACAACCCGGGGAAACCCGGGCUAAUACCUGAUGUGCCCCUCGGGGGAAAGGAAGCUUCGGCCUCCGCAACUGGAUGAGCCCGCGGCCCAUUAGCUUGUUGGUGGGGUAACGGCCUACCAAGGCUUCGAUCGGUAGCCGGUCUGAGAGGAUGAUCGGCCACACUGGGACUGAGACACGGCCCAGACUCCUACGGGAGGCAGCAGUGGGGAAUCUUGGACAAUGGGCGCAAGCCUGAUCCAGCGACGCCGCGUGGGUGACGAAGGCCUUCGGGUUGUAAAGCCCUUUUCCCGGGGACGAUGAUGACGGUACCCGGGGAAUAAGCACCGGCUAACUCCGUGCCAGCAGCCGCGGUAAGACGGAGGGUGCUAGCGUUGUUCGGAAUGACUGGGCGUAAAGGGCGCGUAGGCGGCCAUUCACGUCGGAUGUGAAAGCCCGGGGCUCAACCCCGGAACGGCAUCCGAUACGGGCUGGCUCGAGACCGAGAGAGGUGAGUGGAAUUCCCGGUGUAGCGGUGAAAUGCGCAGAUAUCGGGAGGAACACCAGUAGCGAAGGCGGCUCGCUGGGCCACACCUGACGCUGAGACGCGAAAGCUAGGGGAGCGAACAGGAUUAGAUACCCUCGUAGUCC
This 763-nucleotide ribosomal RNA is filed under the name uncultured soil bacterium. RNAcentral describes it as "bacterial SSU rRNA". It matches the Rfam family "Bacterial small subunit ribosomal RNA", at positions 8 to 796 of the family's 1533-position model. The record is from RNAcentral.